This 21-nucleotide transfer RNA is filed under the name Alcedo meninting (blue-eared kingfisher). RNAcentral's name for it is "partial tRNA-Arg". The record is from RNAcentral. Lineage: Eukaryota; Metazoa; Chordata; Aves; Coraciiformes; Alcedinidae.
AAAGUUAGUCUAGUCAAGAUA